This 378-nucleotide ribosomal RNA is filed under the name uncultured prokaryote. RNAcentral's name for it is "partial 16S ribosomal RNA". The record is from RNAcentral.
CCCUACGGGGUGCAGCAGGCCGAAAACACCGGCUAAUGAAUAUUCCACUGAUGUGGUAAAUACGUUUGAGCCAAGCCCUCCCGACUGGGGAUGGAUUGACGAGAAGAGCUGCACGGACUCGAUGGUCCUCGCGGGACAAAAGUCAUAUUUUAAUGCAGCCGGCCAGGAAUUCAGUCCUACAUAUACCAGUCCGCUCCGCCCGAUGUUCCGCACGGAGAACGACCUGAUCGAUGUAUCCGUGGAUCGCAGGACUCCGGCGGUAUUCCCGGGAGCCUGGCUCGUUCUUACCGUCAGAUCCGGCAGGAAAGAUCUGAAAUGGAAUGCCGCAGCGGUUAACGAUUUCGUCGUUCCCGGCAGCAAAGGAAUUGGCGGGGGGGC